UUUGUCUGUAUUCACAGCCAACCCCUCCCCCAGGACAGUGUCUGGCACAGGGAAGGAAAUAAAAAUCAGAUGGAGUCUCGCUCUGUUGUCCAGGCUGGAGUGCAGUGGGGCGAUCUCGGCUCACUGCAACCUCUGCCUCCUGGGUUCAAGUGAUUCUCCUGCCUCAGCCUCCCAAGUAGCGGGGACUACAGCACUGCAAUGAAUGCUGCUGCACACGCUGUUGAGCUCGUGGACACUUUCCUGCUGGGUGAGGACCCGAACGUGAAAUUGCUGGGUCAUGGAUUCAAGUGCUACACAUAUUUUUGACCACAUUACUGUGACUCAGGAAGCCCAGGAACAGAAUUCUAGGCACCAGAACCAUACAUGUUACAGCCUCUGAGCUUUAUGGCCUCUGAGCCAUUUGUCCAGCCACAUCAUUUGCAGAUGAGAUCCUGAGACUCAGGCUGGAAAAGUGACCGGGGAAAAGUCACACAAGUCAGAGGCAGAGCUGGAGUUUCCUCAUUUCCAGGCCCGUAUAGAUCAAGACGGACGUUGGUCAAACACCUCCUAGUACUCACAUGAAGAAGCUCUCCUUUCUGCUGUAGGAAUGAUCACACACCAUUCCAAUCUGGAUACCAAAUGUCAUUGUUUAUUAAAUGUGUGCAGUGUGCCAGGCAUAUUGUGUCAUAUGUUUACAUGUG
This 680-nucleotide long non-coding RNA is filed under the name Homo sapiens (human). RNAcentral describes it as "HSALNT0317365". The record is from RNAcentral. Lineage: Eukaryota; Metazoa; Chordata; Mammalia; Primates; Hominidae.